Molecule: transfer RNA, 56 nt
Filed under: Pingus sinensis
Lineage: Eukaryota; Metazoa; Nematoda; Chromadorea; Rhabditida; Quimperiidae
Description: tRNA-Ala
Source: RNAcentral
GGGGUUUUAGUUUAAUUUUAGAACUGCUGAUUUGCAUUCAGAUGGCUUGAACUCUG